RNAcentral lists this long non-coding RNA (266 nucleotides) under Volvox carteri. Its description in RNAcentral is "long non-coding RNA (VCAR_LNC002129)". Lineage: Eukaryota; Viridiplantae; Chlorophyta; Chlorophyceae; Chlamydomonadales; Volvocaceae. The record is from RNAcentral.
AUAAUUUGCAAAGAAGGCUAUUCAGAGAUUGAGAUAGCUUGAGCCCUGCCUAGUAGCAAUGCUAGCUACGUUCGGUUUGGUGGCUAGGUAGUAUCACGGCAACUCCAACGUCUAUGGGCAUAACCGGAUAAUCUGUUGCGAACCCGCCCUGAGUUGUGAGGAGAGAACUACAGUGUGCACAGACCGGCUGUAAGACAACCGCUUCUGUUUGCCCGCACUGUCGUGCACUCCAGCUGGACUGGCCCAGCUGCAAUGCCCUGCCCGGG